RNAcentral lists this ribosomal RNA (607 nucleotides) under Danafungia scruposa. RNAcentral's name for it is "eukaryotic LSU rRNA". The stretch from base 239 to 392 matches the Rfam family "5.8S ribosomal RNA". Lineage: Eukaryota; Metazoa; Cnidaria; Anthozoa; Scleractinia; Fungiidae. The record is from RNAcentral.
GGUUUCCGUAGGUGAACCUGCGGAAGGAUCAUUACCGAUGUAAUCCAAAAGCACGACUCCGUCGUGACUACCGUGUGAACUGUACCAAACUAUUCAGGGGUCGGCAAGUCCGUUAAAUGGCGGUCGGACGCGUGCACCGCGCGCGGCCGCUCCGCCAGCCCCGCCUGUGUUUUUUAACAUACGUGUCUUGUCUGAAACGUGACCACUGCCGUGGUCCAGAGCAAAAAGAAAGAGAGACAACUUUUGACGGUGGAUCUCUUGGCUCACGCAUCGAUGAAGAACGCAGCCAGCUGCGAUAAGUAGUGUGAAUUGCAGAAUUCAGUGAAUCAUCGAAUCUUUGAACGCAAAUGGCGCUCUUGGGUUCUCCCAGGAGCAUGUCUGUCUGAGUGUCGGAUAUCAUCCAACGCACCUAGUCGUGCGGCGUUGAGGCGUCACGGCCCUCCUGGCGGCCGUGUCCCUUGAAAGUCAGAGAGACUCGCCGCGGCACGGGUUCGUUCCCUGCACACUCGCGGAGGCUAAAAACGCUUUUGCCCUUCGCGUGCACGGGAGCGGCCCAGCCGCCGAGUCACGGAGGCGAACACUCUUCAACUCUUGACCUCAGAUCAGG